AACGCACAUUGCGCCCCCUGGUAUUCCGGGGGGCAUGCCUGUUCGAGCGUCAUUUCAACCAAUCCAGCCCGGCUGGGUGUUGGGCGUCGCGGCCCCCGCGCGCCUCAAAGUCCUCGGCGGAAGCCGCCCGUUCCUCUGCGUGAUGCAUCAUCUUCGCUCGGGAGUCGGGGGCGAGCGCCCGAACGCAUCGGCGGAGACGCCGAUUCUCAGGUUGACCUCGGAUCAGGUAGGGGUACCCGCUGAACUUAA
RNAcentral lists this unclassified non-coding RNA (249 nucleotides) under uncultured fungus. Its description in RNAcentral is "partial contains 5.8S ribosomal RNA, internal transcribed spacer 2, and large subunit ribosomal RNA". The stretch from base 1 to 52 matches the Rfam family "5.8S ribosomal RNA", at positions 103 to 154 of the family's 154-position model. Lineage: Eukaryota; Fungi. The record is from RNAcentral.